Molecule: ribosomal RNA, 2288 nt
Filed under: Shigella sonnei
Lineage: Bacteria; Pseudomonadati; Pseudomonadota; Gammaproteobacteria; Enterobacterales; Enterobacteriaceae
Description: partial 23S ribosomal RNA
Rfam family: Bacterial large subunit ribosomal RNA
Source: RNAcentral
GUGGUAUCCUGUCUGAAUAUGGGGGGCCCAUCCUCCAAGGCUAAAUACUCCUGACUGACCGAUAGUGAACCAGUACCGUGAGGGAAAGGCGAAAAGAACCCCGGCGAGGGGAGUGAAAAAGAACCUGAAACCGUGUACGUACAAGCAGUGGGAGCACGCUUAGGCGUGUGACUGCGUACCUUUUGUAUAAUGGGUCAGCGACUUAUAUUCUGUAGCAAGGUUAACCGAAUAGGGGAGCCGAAGGGAAACCGAGUCUUAACUGGGCGUUAAGUUGCAGGGUAUAGACCCGAAACCCGGUGAUCUAGCCAUGGGCAGGUUGAAGGUUGGGUAACACUAACUGGAGGACCGAACCGACUAAUGUUGAAAAAUUAGCGGAUGACUUGUGGCUGGGGGUGAAAGGCCAAUCAAACCGGGAGAUAGCUGGUUCUCCCCGAAAGCUAUUUAGGUAGCGCCUCGUGAAUUCAUCUCCGGGGGUAGAGCACUGUUUCGGCAAGGGGGUCAUCCCGACUUACCAACCCGAUGCAAACUGCGAAUACCGGAGAAUGUUAUCACGGGAGACACACGGCGGGUGCUAACGUCCGUCGUGAAGAGGGAAACAACCCAGACCGCCAGCUAAGGUCCCAAAGUCAUGGUUAAGUGGGAAACGAUGUGGGAAGGCCCAGACAGCCAGGAUGUUGGCUUAGAAGCAGCCAUCAUUUAAAGAAAGCGUAAUAGCUCACUGGUCGAGUCGGCCUGCGCGGAAGAUGUAACGGGGCUAAACCAUGCACCGAAGCUGCGGCAGCGACGCUUAUGCGUUGUUGGGUAGGGGAGCGUUCUGUAAGCCUGCGAAGGUGUGCUGUGAGGCAUGCUGGAGGUAUCAGAAGUGCGAAUGCUGACAUAAGUAACGAUAAAGCGGGUGAAAAGCCCGCUCGCCGGAAGACCAAGGGUUCCUGUCCAACGUUAAUCGGGGCAGGGUGAGUCGACCCCUAAGGCGAGGCCGAAAGGCGUAGUCGAUGGGAAACAGGUUAAUAUUCCUGUACUUGGUGUUACUGCGAAGGGGGGACGGAGAAGGCUAUGUUGGCCGGGCGACGGUUGUCCCGGUUUAAGCGUGUAGGCUGGUUUUCCAGGCAAAUCCGGAAAAUCAAGGCUGAGGCGUGAUGACGAGGCACUACGGUGCUGAAGCAACAAAUGCCCUGCUUCCAGGAAAAGCCUCUAAGCAUCAGGUAACAUCAAAUCGUACCCCAAACCGACACAGGUGGUCAGGUAGAGAAUACCAAGGCGCUUGAGAGAACUCGGGUGAAGGAACUAGGCAAAAUGGUGCCGUAACUUCGGGAGAAGGCACGCUGAUAUGUAGGUGAAGUCCCUUGCGGAUGGAGCUGAAAUCAGUCGAAGAUACCAGCUGGCUGCAACUGUUUAUUAAAAACACAGCACUGUGCAAACACGAAAGUGGACGUAUACGGUGUGACGCCUGCCCGGUGCCGGAAGGUUAAUUGAUGGGGUCAGCGCAAGCGAAGCUCUUGAUCGAAGCCCCGGUAAACGGCGGCCGUAACUAUAACGGUCCUAAGGUAGCGAAAUUCCUUGUCGGGUAAGUUCCGACCUGCACGAAUGGCGUAAUGAUGGCCAGGCUGUCUCCACCCGAGACUCAGUGAAAUUGAACUCGCUGUGAAGAUGCAGUGUACCCGCGGCAAGACGGAAAGACCCCGUGAACCUUUACUAUAGCUUGACACUGAACAUUGAGCCUUGAUGUGUAGGAUAGGUGGGAGGCUUUGAAGUGUGGACGCCAGUCUGCAUGGAGCCGGCCUUGAAAUACCACCCUUUAAUGUUUGAUGUUCUAACGUGGACCCGUGAUCCGGGUUGCGGACAGUGUCUGGUGGGUAGUUUGACUGGGGCGGUCUCCUCCUAAAGAGUAACGGAGGAGCACGAAGGUUGGCUAAUCCUGGUCGGACAUCAGGAGGUUAGUGCAAUGGCAUAAGCCAGCUUGACUGCGAGCGUGACGGCGCGAGCAGGUGCGAAAGCAGGUCAUAGUGAUCCGGUGGUUCUGAAUGGAAGGGCCAUCGCUCAACGGAUAAAAGGUACUCCGGGGAUAACAGGCUGAUACCGCCCAAGAGUUCAUAUCGACGGCGGUGUUUGGCACCUCGAUGUCGGCUCAUCACAUCCUGGGGCUGAAGUAGGUCCCAAGGGUAUGGCUGUUCGCCAUUUAAAGUGGUACGCGAGCUGGGUUUAGAACGUCGUGAGACAGUUCGGUCCCUAUCUGCCGUGGGCGCUGGAGAACUGAGGGGGGCUGCUCCUAGUACGAGAGGACCGGAGUG